This 9717-nucleotide long non-coding RNA is filed under the name Gallus gallus (chicken). The record is from RNAcentral. Lineage: Eukaryota; Metazoa; Chordata; Aves; Galliformes; Phasianidae.
UCUCUCUUUCUCUCUUUCUCUCUUUCUCUCUCUCUUUCUUUCUUUCUUUCCUUCUUUCCUUCUUUCCUUCUUUCUUUCUUUCUUUCUUUCUUUCUUGUGUGUAGCCCUUUGGAUUGAAAACAAGAGUUGCUCACUACAUACGGAGAUGGAACCCUCACAGCUUGACUGCUUUAUGGAAACAGAAUAAAAGAAAAAAAGUUGUUUUAAAAAUAGUAAUUUGAGUUUGUUACUGCAGGGAAAUCUGACAUUCUGCAAUAGAUCGCAUGCUUCACUGUGAACUUUAAGCAUUUUCCGUGUUCCUCCAGUGGCAGCAGCACUACUGCUGUGAACACCUUUAGCACUCUGCCUUUAGCAUUCUUGGUAUAUCUCUUUUUAUUCGCAUGUAGUUGACCCAGACAUAGCUGCAAAGGGAAAUUGUUCCUCUGUUUCAGAGUCUAUGAUACAGGUAGUGAGGUUUUUUUCACUUGUAUUUCCACAUCUACUGUACAGAUGGAUCCAGAGGCCCUUUCCAGCUGUUCUCUGUGAUGCUGUGAAGUCACUAUAUCACUGUUCAACAGAAGUCGGCGUACCAGAAGGCAAACUGAAAAAUACACCAAUACUAUUUCUAACCUACUACUCCAUUCAUUGUGGUCAAACUGUAAUUGAGGGAUUGCAGUGAUGAAAGAGUCAUUCCUAAAAUGCCUCGUGUGGCCUCUCACUGUUUUGCAAAAAAUUUUAGUGAAGAGUUCCAAAAAAAUGUUGGGGAUUUCAAGGGGAAUUCCAGAAGCUGUUGGAAUAUUUUGCGUAUGUGUUUGUUUUUAAACAGUAAAGGCAGCUUUAUGAGCCAGUGGUUUUGAAUGUCAUUUCUUGUGUGGUGCUGUGCCUGGUGUUGGACUAUGAGACUGAAGCUGAGUGAAAAGAACGAAGAAAAGGUCUCGUAGAAGUGCAGGGUUGCUCAGUGAGGUGGAAGAGUUCCUGUGGAUUCCUACAACUUCUUUCUUACUGUCUGUUCCUCUGAAUACACAACUGCUUCGCUCUUAAACUUGAAAGCGGUUCCUCAUAUGGAAAAUUGUUCCUUCAUCAUCACACCAUAAAUAAUCGAAGCUGGAUGAGUUCCUCUGCUUCUCUGGCUUGCCGAGUAUUGCCCUUCUCCAGCUGCAGAGCUACAGUUUCCUAUGGCUAACUUGACAUAGUUGCUGGCAGUAAAUUUUUACUUCGUUUAUUUAUUAGAAUUUAGAUGUCUGCUGUUUUGCUCCAUCAGAAUUUCUGUCAUACCUCGUUAGAUGCUUAUUUUAUCUACUGUUCACUGAGCUCCUUAGAGUCAGUGUCAUAAGAAGGAUGAACAGGUAUUUAGGAGAGCAGAUUUCAACCCUAACUUUGUGCAGCUGAUGCUGACGUUUGAGAAUCGCCAGCUUAUCUAGGCUCAGCCGUGUAGUAUAUUAUAUUUCUACACUGCAUCCACCUACAUACGCAUCGAUUUAAAAGAAAUGUAUACUUCAAAUUCAGCUCGUGUCAGUUAUUAUUACCAAACCUGUACAAUGUAGGUUUGCGAUUAUUAUGCAUAAAGAUUAACACACUAUUAACUGUAGUAGUUUGACUUGUCAAGUUCCUUAUGGCUCUAAAAAUGAAAAUCUCUUCAUGCUGAGUCUGACACAGAAAAAAUCUGGUGUCAUGGAGAAAAUUCUGAUAGCUUAGAAAGAAUGGCAAAGUUUGUCCUCAUUUCAGUGUGUGGUUUUACAGUUGAUCUGUCACAGUUUAUGAUUUCCUCCACUUUUUCUUAAAGUGUCCUAAUUUUUCUUUGUUAUUAAGACUGAGGAGGACCCAAGCAGGCAGGUGCGUUUCAUGAAGACGUGUUGAUUUCCUCUCCCCUUGCAGGCAGACACAUCUGUGGAUCGAAUUGUCUGGGUGACCUUGCUGUGCAGGCACAGUGCCGGGCAACACGAAGAUCUGGCUUCAGCGCGUGACUUUGUGGCUGACCUUUCUGCAGUUCCAAAGUAAAAAUUGUGAAUUUCAGUGGAAGAAAUAGGAUACUUUUCAGACAUGAGUGAAUUUCUAAUUCCUCACUGGCAAACCUUUAAGAAAUUCUGAAACGGACAGUAACAUACCUCUAUAUUUGUGCUUUGCUUGACAAUUUUAUUUAUCUAGCAGUACCAGCAGCAUUCUAAAACUUGAUAGGUCUGGGGCUGUCAAGUACAAAGGCAGCUUUCUCUGCUUCUUUUUUCACAUUUUAUUGACUUUUGCAUGUAAGCAUUAGGAAUGAUGAGAUGAAUUACGAUUUCUGCUACUGACAAAAGCAUACACAUUAUUCUGAAGUUAUUUUGCAGAAAUUUACAAUUUUAUCUAGAAUAACUGAUUAAGUCAGUGAAAAGAAAAUUCUUUCAGAAAGAGAUAUGUAAGCAAACUGUUCAUGCAUGGGUUUCUCUGCACACUGUUGUGGAUGAAAUUGGUGGAUGACAGACCUACUGGUAGAUGCCAACAGUUUCCUCUUAUCCAGAGUUAUUAAGAGUGGCAAAGGGAAGUGAGAUUUAAAAAAUUCCUUGCUGUCUGACUUGAGUUUUGUUCAGUAUUCCUGCUGUGCCAGUACAUAUCAUGGCCCAAGGCGUGGUAUUCAGUCAUUUUCUAAGGCACUUGCAGCAUGUAGUAUAUCUCAGUGGAAGAAAGGAGAAGCAGUGUGCAGAGCAGAGAGCAAUGAUGGAGAGCAACACAACCCAUUGAAUGCAGGAUGUGUGGCUGGCCCUUGGUGACCUGCGUGCGUGGAAGUUUCUGCUGUAGCCUUCCUCUGAACUUCUCCCUGUGAUGCCUGUAGUUACGUGAUUCUAGAGUCUGCUGUCGCUUGAGAUAUGUGAGCCUGUAGCAUUCCUGGCUUCCCAUGCCAUAAACUCAUCCAAACAGCAGAGCUGACUACAAAUACUCCUCCUUUUGGGGCCUCAGUUACAGACUUGGAGCUAGGUGAGCUCCAUCCAGGCUGCUAGACCAGACCCACCACCUGCCAGUUUACCGGGGAAAGCAUCUUUCAGCUUUAUUCCAAGAAAGUGAAAUCUAAUGCUGCGUCUUGCAAAACAGGAGCAUGACUUGCUCAGUUUCCUGCAGAUACAUCACUGACAAGUAGCAGUAGGAAAAAAAAGCUAACCGUAGCUGUAAGAAACAGAAACAGUUAAGUGUCUUAAGUGCAAUUGGAAAAAGACAGAAUGUCCCAUCGCUAACAUAGAAGUGUCUCAUACAGGUGUGGUAGCAUAAAGCAGCAAUGCCGAGACACUGUCAGAUUUUUUGUCCCUUUUUCUCUCUCUUCCUUUCUCUUCUUCCUUUUCUCUUUCUAAAGCGGCCUUGCCUUUCAGCAUCCUCUGUGAACCACUCUGGCUGAACACAGUUUUGAAAUGACUCAACAAAGUCAAAUGGUGCCAUAUAUGAUGUCUGUGCUGUGGCUGCAGCAGUUGCACGUGGCUUGGCAGGCUGGGGAUGUGUGGGGCUGAGGCAGCUGCAGCGAGGCCCGACAGCCCCAUUGCAGCAGCCCUGGCCUGCUUGGCAUCUUGGCAAAGAGUUCUGUCAGCGGCACCGCUGGCCUGUCCCCAAGGGUAGGGCUGCCAGCGUUAAUGAGGUGUCAGUGUGGGAGCUGGUAUUUUAAGCACCGCUACAAGCAAUUUUGUGACAUUUGUAAAGAAAGAACCGAACUUGGGAUAAAAAAAUCCCCCCAAGACCAAAUAAAGUGAUGGUUUCAGCUGGUGAUGCUUCAGUAGUGAGAACAUGUUUUGGCACAAAACCGCAUCCUUUCUGUUGUUGUAGAGCCUGGCCAAGGCCUUUGUAUACCUGCACAAAGGGCUCUUACUCGGAGCGCUCCGUGCUUUCUGGGGCUUCGGGCUCUCUGCCUUUCAUUCACAGUGAAUACACUGCUUUUUUCUACUGUUGAUUUAGGAUGAAAAUAAAGCAUUUUAUUUCCUGUAUGCUAAGAAAUUUUGUGCAGCUUUGGGUUUAGUCUGACUUCUGAACAUAUACCCGAUCAAGGAGAUCAAUAUACAUUCCUACAGCUAGAAGCAAUAAAUGACACGGCGAGGGAGGAAAGCAAUAAAUACCCCUUUGACCAUACCUCUGAAGCAAAGCAAUUGCUUUUCAGUGGAAGUUUGAUUUCUUCAUGUUUUUAGUUAAAAGCUUUUAUUAAUUUUAACUGAAGUAAAUAUGUUAUGCUUUGCUUUUCAAAUCAAUCCUUUUACAGCUCGGAGUCCUUGGAGCUUGAAUCCUCUCCAGCCAUAUUCUGCUAUCUGCCAAUUCCUUGCUAAGUGCAAACCUGACACUGCUGCCAAUAAAUCCACCUUCGUGCCAUUUAAAGUCAUCUGCCGUAUUUCUGUGGAGCUAAUCAAAGUUUGUGAGAAGACAUUUUUUGAAGGGGAUGGAAUUCUGGUCAUUUCAAUUCAGUAAGUUAAUUAAAAUUAAUAGCAGUGAACUAUGAAAGAGAGAAGUGGUACAGUUCGUUUGAACGCUCACUUAUUCUCUGUUGUUGGAGGAGUUUUCCAGGGCAGAACAGAUUUUUGUUCUGCUGCUGUCUGUGGUGCUCUCCCCACCCAAUUUUAGACUUCUGAAUGCAGUGAGCCCCGGCUCCGAGCUGAUUGCGUCCCUGUGAAUGCCAAGCACUGCUUUAUUUUUACCUGGCGAGACGGCUGGCCUGAUAAAUGGAUGGGAUGCCAGCACUGCAGGAGACAACGAUGAUGUCUGCACGGGUUCAUAAGUCUGCAGUUUUCCAGGAGCAGAAUUUCCAAUCCCUUCACACGCAGACAUGAGCCACCAAACACAAACUUAUAAAGGAUUAGGUCUGUGGAACAUUUUCUUUGGACUUUGUAGAGCCAUACUGUACACUAUGUACACCAGUUAUUUUUCCUUUAUUAAGUGCACUAGCAGUAUGAUUAUUAUACUACCAACAUAUUUAUGGCUGAUCUGAUUCCUGAAAUACGCUGUGGCCAUCUGGGUUCUUCCAGGAAAUUGGAUUAAUUAUUGAAUUGUUUGAAUUUCAUAUAACAAAACGUGCUGCUCUUGCUGGUUAGCAGUCCACAUAGAGUUUAAACAAUAUUUCUGAGAGUGAUUUAUUGGUAGAGCGGAAAAGCCUGGUGCUGAAUCCAUCCAUUGGGAUUUGCUUACAUUAGGAAGCAGUGCAGGUGGCAGUCUGUUUCAGCACCGAAUGGAUUUUCCCCUUUUCUCUCUGAUAAAUGAAGUGCUUAUAUAAGGUGAAAGAUUGAAAAAGCGAGCGGUGCGGAGCCCCCAGGGAGCUGUGCGGGCAUGGGGCUGGGGUUGCUGGCCUUGCUGGGCUGUGCUGGGGGCUGUGGGGCCUGCCUGGGGCCCGCUGGGGCUGUCAGGGGCUGCUUGGGCUCAGUCAGCAACCUGGGGAUGUGGCUUGAGGAGGGCUGCUGAUGGCAUCACAGAAUCAUAGAAUGGUUUGGGUUGGAAGGGGCCUUUAAGGUCAUCUAGUGCCAACCCCCGCUGAAGUGUUCACCUGGAGCUCCCAGUGAUAUGUGCAGCACAGGAGGGUGUUUUGACACCAAACUCAUUUUGUCUGUCACUUGAUAACAAAUUGUACCCAUAGCUCUAUCGUUGUUGACUUCCUGUAAGCGUGGAGCUUCUGUCUCAUGUUUUUGUUGUGCGCAUAAUGGAUCGUGUCUGGUUUUGAAUUAGUUCUCAACAAAUUGUUCUGAAUCUUUAUUGUAUGUGGGACUACUCCUUUUCGUUAUUGCUAAUAUACAAAAUAUUUCUCCCAAAUAAUUAAUUUGGUGUCAUUUAAUGACAAACAUUUGAUGGCUUUUACUGUCAAAUACUGUAUGUAAACUCCUCGCGGCGUCAUAUCUAUAAAUUGUUUUAGAGCCUGAUUACAUCAGCCCCUUUAAAGAGGAUCCAGGCUCACUAGCAGUGCUUCCUGCAAUGCACAUCUCUAGAGAAAACUGACAUUGGACUUUUACAGCCAGGACCAAUCAGGCUCAGCCCUUCCAUGCUCUCCACAACAUUUAGAUGAAUCCCAUUCUUGAGGUGCAGCUCGAGCAGCCUGUCAGCUGUCUGGGCUGUGUGCCCCCGGGCACCACGUUCCCACUGUCAGCCAUGAGAAAUAGUGCCCCUUGUGCAGCCGUGUACGAGGAAAGCGCGAUGAUGAAUCCACAAGUUGGAGUUAGGGGAGAAAGUGAAGUAGUGUUUACUCAGUGCUGAGGAAGGUUUUGUUCUAGUAGUUGCACCUGCUGUCAGAUGGGGAAUUGUUCUGAUGUUCGUGGCUUCCUACCUCGUGUAGUUACGGGCAUUCAUCCUUACUUAAAAGAAAAAUUAGGUUUUGCCCUUAGUCCAUCUUCUGGGUGUGCCUACAACGAGGCAGGGGUUUUGAAAAGAAAAAAGGAAAAUAGAGUGAGCUGCAAUACAGCGUAACGAAACAUCCAGAAAAAAAUGGGCAGGAAAUCUCUGACAAAUGCAGGCAGUCUGAGCGUGAACGUUUCCAGGUAAAGUUCCUGAUAGAUGAGACUUCCUGCUCAGCAGCUCCAACGACACUGAAAUAUAAUUAAGAAGGCCUUUGGAACUGAAGGAAAACAAUCUUUUAGCUUUGGAGGACUUGGAAGAGACAUUCCUGCUGAUGUAGGGGCAUAGUACGAAGUCUAUCACUUAGAAUUGCUGCUCAAUUCUAUGUGCAGUAUUUGCUUUCAGUGUUCCUCUCUGACAGCAUACGAGAGCGGUGCUUUCACGUGGAGCAGAGCUGCUACAACUUCCAUCACCUUUAAGCCUAUGAAGCAAGUGAGUUUUCAGUUUACAGUGUCAGAAGCCUUAAAAUACCAAGCCAUUAUAACAAAGCUUCUUGCCAUUCACCUUUUCACCUUUCAAGUUUCCUGCCCCUCAUUAUAUUGGUGUUACACGUAAUUCACACCAGUAUCAGUAUCAGCCCAGACAUCCAGCGGUCUCACUGUCUGCAGGCAAACCAUGUCGGUGUCCUAAUAAACCUCUAAAUGCAUCCAAAUCCUUCUGAAGGCUUUCAGACGACACAGCAGAUAGUGCUUAGCUCGCUGUCAAAUUGAAGUGAUUACUUGAUUUCUAAGUGCUGGGCUUCUGAGAACAAAAGCAGUGUGGUAAAUGCAGCCACCUUCCUUCUUUGGUGAGCAUACGCCAGCAGGCGGUGCAAAGCGAGAGCUCGUUUGAAUUGCAGAGCAAGUGUGUCUUAUCUCAUUGACUACGAGAAAAUUGCAUGUGUAACAGGAGAAGUCCUGUUUCUGAUUGCAGUGAUCCCAACAAUGGGUCAAGAAAUCCCAGAGCUGCCUUUGGAGUUCAGUCAGUGCAUGUUCUUCCUGGUGGGUUACCCUGCAGCCACAGGUGGAAGAGUGAAGUUCCAUCAGGAAGCCUAAGCUGAGAUAAGGGAAUCAAGGAGUAGAUUUAUUGGCUCAGAAGGAAGGCAGCUGCUGUGCACAAUAACAAUUCAAACUGGAAUAAAUUGGUCUGGACUCACCGAACAAAUUGCAGCUUGCAGAAAGCACCAAGUUGGGGUAAUAAAUGCUGGAGAGGAGUUAAAAAAGUUCAGAAGUGUCUUUAGAGCUGGUUAUUUUAGAAGGAUGAAGGCACAUAAAGGUAACCGAAAAGGGAUGUAAAUGUGUUUUUAUCCAGCAAAGUCACUGUGAGGGAUUAAAUGUAAAGACUGUUCGGUUCCUUGCUCUGUGUUAAAUCCUCUGGGCAGCUUUCCUUGCCCUCCUGUUUGCUCUUUCACACCUGGGAGCAUCCCAUGGGAGCAGAAGCACUGCACAGGCAUGAAGCACAGUGCCCCGAGCCCGGUGCCUGAGUGGGCAGAAAGCAGAACAUUCCUGUAUUGUAAUAUUCUUUAUUGUAGCCUCUACAACACCAAAUCUUUGCCAAGGGCAGCAGUGCAUCAGCCCAAGCAGAAAUUACUGAUUGAGGAAGGACUGGUCAUGGGUGCCCAAAGGAGUUUCUUCCUCACAAACUGCAAAGGCACUUUGUUUGCUGUACAUUUUGCUCCCUUGUACACAGUUUCCUUCUGUAGUGUUGGUGGUUGGUCGAUGUUUUAUAGGUGGUCUGGGAAAAAGUAAUUAAGCAGGUCUGGAAGUAUUUGCAGGGAUUUCAAAGAGAAAGACUGAAAUACCCUAGGAAAAAUGGCCUUGAAAACUUAACAGCAGCUUGAUUUUCUUAUGCACCAUGGCAAAUAGCAUUCUUUGUUGCCUUUCCAUCCACACCCCCUCCUGUUGGGGUGCAACAAUCCUUUCCAGCAAUUAAAACAAAUCAGAAGUGAAAAAUGACAAACCAGGUGAGGGUGAGCAGCAGGGCUGACUGACGUGGGCCAUUUCCCCAUUUCCCAUCCCUGCUGUGUUCACGGGCACGAUGUUUGAACCAGGGCAGCUGUUUGCAAUCUCCAGCGGCGUCCCAGCGAGGAAGAAGUGACUUGUCAUUGGGAGCACGUUACUUUUUAUCCCGUGUAAAGUGCUUUGCUGGAGAAAUCUGAUACAACUUCUAUGUUAAAAUAAUCAAUGUACUUUUUGCUUUGCUGCACUUUGAUACCUGAAUCUUGAAAGGCUUUGCUUCAGCUGCUGAGAAAGUGGGGAGCCAACAGCCCUCGGGCCCCCCCAGAACAAAGGGGAGGAGCUCCAGAGCUGGAGGCAGAACGGGAGGAGCAGCCCAUGGCUUUCCUGGCCUGGCCAGGGAUGCAGCCAUUGCUGGCAAACUCCUCCAGUAUUCCCCUCAGGCUUACAAUACCUGCUAACUCUUCACAGAUUUCAUUAGGAUUCUCCUAAUGUUUUAACCAGUUGUUAUUAAAAACAUGCACUGAAGUGUCUUGGAACGCCAGGCCCUCUACAAGCCUGUUGCCCAUCUCUCCUUGGUGCCUCUCAGCCAUGCAGUGGCAUUCUCUCAGCCGGCCUCUGCCCGCUGUGAAUGCACUUCAUUAAAUCAUCAUUUUUUGCAUAGCAUCUCUUAACAGAGGCACAGGUUGCUCAUACUUAAUGCAUUGCACCAUGCAAAAAGUCCUUUAUCCUGCUAAAUAAUUAUAGUAAAUUAAGUUGAGGGUAGGUAACUCUUGGGUGUACGUGCAAGACUUCAUGUCUUUAAUUAUCUUCUGACUUCAGAAAUGUUUCCAAAUGUUAGUUCAAUAUUGAGGAUGCACUGAAAUGCUACAAGUGCUGAGCUUGCUUUUCCCCCUUUGUUAUGUGUUCUGGCUCAUGCAUGGAUGCCCCUCAUUCGAUAGAUGUUUACAAUGGAGACAUGCCAGUCAUCCCCAGUUUCUGUGCAAUGAAAUCCUGUCGGUGGGAUGUGGGCACCCUCAGUUUUACACCUGCAUUCCUGUUUAAUUUCCUUUGAAGGAUUUUAGCGGGUUUCUCAUUUGGCAGUGUUCACAGCCCUGCACCUUCUUACCCGUAACAGUUAAUUUUGCUUUGGUGGUUUUGUUUCCAGUAAGUCAUUUGGGAUUUCUUCCCUCCAUCCUUUCUGCGAUGGCAGGAUAGGAUAUUUUCCUCAGAAGCUUUUUGGAUGCUGACAUUUGAAUAGCAUUUUUCUUUCCUGACAGAAGCGCCAUGCCUGCCCUGCACUGAGUUCCUCAGUCCAUUUGAUUUCAUUAACCUCUUUCACUUCUUCCUUAAAGACUGCCAUUAGAAAUUGAAAUCCUGACUUGAAUACUCACUAUCUUGAUCACUUCUUUGCUUUCAAUUUAAAAUCAAAUCAUAAGGAGGUGGCAUCAACGUUACCCGUUACAGAUGUCAGCCAAGGCAGUGUAGCUGAUUCCCCUUGGUGUUUCUG